Molecule: ribosomal RNA, 271 nt
Filed under: uncultured bacterium
Lineage: Bacteria
Description: partial 16S ribosomal RNA
Rfam family: Bacterial small subunit ribosomal RNA
Source: RNAcentral
GACGAACCGUGCGAACGUUGUUCGGAUUCACUGGGCUUAAGGGGCGCGUAGGCGGGCGACCAAGUCAGGGGUGAAAUCUUUCGGCUUAACCGGAAAACAGCUUCUGAUACUGGUCGUCUGGAGGGAGGUAGGGGUCUGUGGAACUUCUGGUGGAGCGGUGAAAUGCGUAGAUAUCAGAAGGAACGCCGGUGGCGAAAGCGACGGACUGGACCUCAUCUGACGCUGAGGCGCGAAAGCUAGGGGAGCAAACGGGAUUAGAAACCCUUGUAGU